UUACUUCGUAGAUCUUAUCAAUUUUGUUAAGAUAUAUUUUUGUGAUUCUAUAUAUUUUCAUGUCACUUCUUCUUAGAAAACCGUAGUUUCAAAUACUAUAGUUGAAAAAAUAAACCUUAAAUAAAGAAUAAACAUAUGAAAUCAAUUGUUGCUUUUGAAAAGGUAUAAGGAGGCCCAACUAUAAAAGUUGAAACUGUCUCAAAAUUAAUACACUUUAAAUCAUAGGAUACUAAAGUGAGAAAGUGCGAAACUAUAUAGUACUAUCUUGAUACACUUUAAAUUAUAGAAUACUAAAAUGAAAAAGUGCGAAACCACUAGAGAGGCUUUUGAAGUUUUUCCUAGU
Molecule: long non-coding RNA, 343 nt
Filed under: Ananas comosus (pineapple)
Lineage: Eukaryota; Viridiplantae; Streptophyta; Magnoliopsida; Poales; Bromeliaceae
Description: long non-coding RNA (ACOM_LNC025470)
Source: RNAcentral